Vulpes vulpes (red fox) is the source of this 104-nucleotide small nuclear RNA. The record is from Ensembl. NCBI's taxonomy places the organism in Eukaryota, Metazoa, Chordata, Mammalia, Carnivora, Canidae.
AUGCUCGCUUCAGGAGCACAUAUACUAAAAUUGUAAUGAUACCAAGAUUAGCAUGGCCCCUUUGCUGGAAGAACACACAAAUUCACGAAGCAUUCCAUAUUUUU